UUCAUCGCUCGCGAUGUUUAACUGACAUGAUUGUGGGACGUCCUACCGGUGGGCUUAGCCUUUCGGGGCGGUCCAGCUAAUAUCCCAUCGCGGUGCUCUUCAUCGAGUGUCGAGGUGGGCCGGUACGUUUACUUUGAACAAAUUAGAGUGCUCAAAGCAGGCUAUGUUUGCCUGGAUACUGUGUGCAUGGAAUAAUGGAAUAGGACCUCGGUUCUAUAAACCUCACCAGGCCCGGACACCGGAAGGAUUGACAGAUUGAUAGCUCUUUCUUGAUUCGGUGGGUGGUGGUGCAUGGCCGUUCUUAGUUGGUGGAGCGAUUUGUCUGGUUAAUUCCGAUAACGAACGAGACUCUAGCCUGCUAAAUAGGCGUACCUUUUGGUAUCUCGAAGGCCCCCGGCUUCGGUCGGGUGGUUUUUACUACCGACGUACUAACAAAUCUUCUUAGAGGGACAGGCGGCGUCUAGCCGCACGAGAUUGAGCAAUAACAGGUCUGUGAUGCCCUUAGAUGUUUUGGGCCGCACGCGCGCUACACUGAAGGAAUCAGGGUGUCCUCCCUGACCGAAAGGCCCGGGUAACCCGCUGAACCUCCUUCGUGCUAGGGAUUGGGGCUUGCAAUUAUUCCCCAUGAACGAGGAAUUCCCAGUAAGCGCGAGUCAUAAGCUCGCGUUGAUUACGUCCCUGCCCUUUGUACACACCGCCCGUCGCUACUACCGAUUGAAUGAUUUAGUGAGGUCUUCGGACUGGUGCGCGGCAAUGUAAUUUUACGUUGCCGAUUGGCCCGGGAAAAUGACCAACCUUGAUUAUUUAUAGGAAGUAAAAAUCGUAACAAGGUUUCCGUAGGUGA
This 844-nucleotide ribosomal RNA is filed under the name Tomocerodes sp. D2640. RNAcentral's name for it is "bacterial SSU rRNA". It matches the Rfam family "Eukaryotic small subunit ribosomal RNA", at positions 693 to 1812 of the family's 1831-position model. The record is from RNAcentral. Lineage: Eukaryota; Metazoa; Arthropoda; Insecta; Hymenoptera; Moranilidae.